This is an RNA transcript of Daphnia pulicaria, 1575 nucleotides long. It is a transcript of the gene named deubiquitinase OTUD6B-like, with no coding region annotated. The record is from RefSeq and is a predicted model, not a curated record. Lineage: Eukaryota; Metazoa; Arthropoda; Branchiopoda; Diplostraca; Daphniidae. The transcript has 6 exons.
UCUGCUAGCUUUCGAAAAUUCUCAUUUCUCAUGUGUGCUCAGUCAGUUUAGUAGGGGAUUCUUGGUAUAUUUAUGUGCCUAUUGAGGUACAUUUAUUUAUGAUCGCAUGAGAUUACAGAGCUUUUUGGUGUUGUAAUCAUCAUUCGAAAAGAAAGAAUGGCCGAAGAAAAUUCCGCCGAUGAAUUAAUAGAAGAGAAGGCUGAAGAGUUGGACGGCGAGGAAGAAUUAUUGGCUCGGCACCGGAAGGAAAAAAAAGAUAUUCAAGCAAAGAUUCAAGCUUUGAAGAAGACAGCAACGAAAGGAGACAAAAAGAAAAAGAAGGACGUGGCUGAGGAGAUUGCCAAGCUAGAAACUGAAAUAGAGACUAAACAUGCUGCAGAAUUGAAGAAAUUUCAGGAAUCCACAGCUGAAACCAAGAAAAUCUCUGAGCAACUAGAAGAUGUAAACUUGGCAGCCAAGGGUGAAGGAAAAGUCACAAAGGCUCAAAGAAGAAGAGACAAAAAACAGGACCAAGCCAAAGAAAGGGUGCAGUUGAUUGAAGAACAGGAGAAAGCUAAUCUUUUGGGAGUCAGGCACACUGAAACCCAGAAAAUCAAAGCAAUACUGGCCAAGCGAAAUCUGACUUUCUUUGAAAUACCAUCUGAUGGCAACUGCAUGUUCGCGGCCAUACUGCACCAAAUUAACCGCGGAGGUGUCUCACAGUCUGUGCAGCAACUUCGCAAUCUUGCGGCAGAAUUUAUGCGUUCAAACGUGGACGAUUUCAUGCCGUUCAUGGACGAGGUGGAAAACGAAGAACAAUACAUGAAAUACUGCGACGAUCUCCAACGAACCGCCGCGUGGGGUAGCCAGCUGGAGUUGCGAGCUUUAAGUCAAGUUUUACGACGUCCCUUUGAAGUCGUGCAGGCUGAAGGUCGUCCUGUUAUCAUAGGCGAAGAAUUCACGGAUCCAUCAUCUACUCCGGUACUGCUCACUUACCAUCGCCACAUGUACGGUUUGGGAGAACAUUACAACAGCGUCCAGCCUCGGCCAGCCGACGACGAGGACAAUGACGGCGGCCAAUAAACCAACAUCCCGCCAUCUCUCUCAGUAAUCUCCCACCUUCAUCCAAAAGUAAAUGGCCAUGCGCAGGAGGAGAAGAAGAAGAAGUUCCUUUUGAUAAUAAAUCAGAUGAGAAAAUAAAAAAUAAAACGAGGAGAGAGAUUGGAAUCUUUGGAUAUAUUUUUCGCCCUUUCACUUUUUUCACGUUUCCUUCUUUCUCCUCGUUUACGAGCUGGUGAUUCAUUCGUUAUUGUUUGAAUUACAUCUUCCUCAUAGCCCGAUAGAUACAACCAGCGUCGCGGUGGAAUCAAAACGAAAUGGGUGGACGAAAUGUCUGCUCGGAGGACGAACGCCUUUCACUCGGCUUGACCUGUCGAAAGGGAAAAUCAACUAACCCGUGAACUAUGGCAAAAGAAAAAAAGAUCUCUCGAAAACGCCUUGACAAUGGACCGCUCGCCUGACCGUUCUCUCUCUUCUUUUCUUUUUUAAGAUUUUCACAUGAUGAAUCACGUCCUACUGUUUGUGUGUCACGAUGCA